This 491-nucleotide ribosomal RNA is filed under the name uncultured bacterium. Its description in RNAcentral is "bacterial SSU rRNA". It matches the Rfam family "Bacterial small subunit ribosomal RNA", at positions 355 to 864 of the family's 1533-position model. The record is from RNAcentral.
UGGGGAAUCUUGCACAAUGGGGGAAACCCUGAUGCAGCGACGCCGCGUGAGCGAUGAAGCCCUUCGGGGUGUAAAGCUCUUUCGGCAGGGAAGAUUAUGACGGUACCUGCAGAAGCAGCUGCGGCUAACUACGUGCCAGCAGCCGCGGUAAUACGUAGGCAGCAAGCGUUGUUCGGAGUUACUGGGCGUAAAGGGUGCGUAGGCGGCUCGAUAAGUAUGGUGUGAAAUCUCCCGGCUUAACUGGGAGGGUGCGCUAUAGACUGCCGGGCUGGAGUGUGGGAGAGGAAAGUGGAAUUCCUGGUGUAGCGGUGAAAUGCGUAGAUAUCAGGAGGAACACCGGUGGUGUAAACGGCUUUCUGGACCAUAACUGACGCUGAGGCACGAAAGCGUGGGUAGCAAACAGGAUUAGAUACCCUGGUAGUCCACGCCCUAAACGAUGCAUAUUUGGUGUGGGUCAUUCAGUUGAUCCGUGCCGGAGCUAACGCGUUAAA